AAGUUGCCAAUGGCAACCGUUUGACAGUUCGUCUGCAGUGCAAAAGUAAAAAGUAAAAACCACAGAUUCACUGCUUCUAAUUAGUGAAAGAAAAAUGUAGCCCGAAUUGCUUUUUCCAAUCUACAUGGAAGUUAAAAAAAUUUGUACACUUCCACAUCAAGCAAUGAAAUAUGCCUUUCUGUUGAAGACAAAAUGCUAGCCAGUGAGAAGAAUGUUGACGUUAUUGUAAAAAGUUUCGGGAUCGUCAACAUACGGACCAGUUUCCGCCUACGGGUUCCAGGUUUAAAAAUAAAAACUAAUCUUCUCGACUUUCUCGUCCUACAGUUCCUGCAUAACGAGCAGAUUUUGGCAACUCUUGAUUAUUCUGAAAUCUUUGUACUAUGACCGACAUGGGCUGCAUAUAUAGUGGGUCGUUAUAUAAGACACCGUUAAAGUGGCAGCCGGGAAGAAAUUGGCAGUGGUUGAAAAACUUGGCGUGGAGGACUGUAAGAUGUGGUACUACUUGAGCAGCCAUGUCAACUUAAAUGGCUGCAUGCAAUUCGUCAAGACAAAAUUUGAAAAGGCCCUUUGUCAUGAGAAAAUGCAGCUUGAGGCAAGAAAUAUUGAAACAGGUUCCUUCCAGUCGACAAAAAAGCAUAAAGUAGGCUAACAUCGAAUCCUCUCAAGAUUUGAAUGAGUGAGUUGCUAGAAAAGCCCUUAAGACGGUCAUCUAAGUUGAGAGAGAAGAUGACAAGCCUGAUCUGUUUAUGAAUCAAAACAAAGGGAACAAAAUGGUAACUGAAAAAGUUACGGUAAACAAAUCAUGCGUUGCAGAUGGCGAUUUGACGUUACAAGUAUGUAGAAUCCAAAUCCAAAGAAGAGUCAGCUAAGAACUAUCUAUUACUGGUACACCAACUGUUAACGAAACUUAUUCCAUACACUUCAAGACUGCCAUUGUGGAGUGCGCAUAUGUUGACUUGCGAUUAAUGAUUCUGGUGGAUUCGUUACCAAGGAGGUGAACCCCCUCUCCCCCACCAAAUCUCAAUCUCUUUUACCAGCCAACGCCAUUUUCAAAUUGUGUAUGCACGGCCGACACAAGACAUAUGUCAACCAGGACCCGACGAGCUAUCCACUUUCGCUAAAACUAGGCAUCAGAGGACAGAGACACCAAAAAUGACUGUUCAUCCUAUGUUGUUGCAAUUGCCCACCAUUCCAAUUUCCAUUCGUCCUAUUUGAGCUAGGAUGCUUCUCUUCUGUCUGGCACAAGUUACCCUACGUGACCACAUUCUCCAGGAGAAGCGGAUUAAGAGCUGGAUCCUGGCCAAUCGUCACUCAUACUCA
Molecule: long non-coding RNA, 1320 nt
Filed under: Daphnia pulex (common water flea)
Lineage: Eukaryota; Metazoa; Arthropoda; Branchiopoda; Diplostraca; Daphniidae
Description: uncharacterized LOC124196502, transcript variant X2
Source: RNAcentral